Molecule: ribosomal RNA, 251 nt
Filed under: uncultured bacterium
Lineage: Bacteria
Description: partial 16S ribosomal RNA
Rfam family: Bacterial small subunit ribosomal RNA
Source: RNAcentral
UACGGAGGAUGCGAGCGUUAUCCGGAUUUAUUGGGUUUAAAGGGUGCGUAGGCGGACUGUCAGUCAGCGGUAAAAUUGAGAGGCUCAACCUCUUCCCGCCGUUGAAACUGGUGGUCUUGAGUGGAUGAGAAGUACGCGGAAUGCGUGGUGUAGCGGUGAAAUGCAUAGAUAUCACGCAGAACUCCGAUUGCGAAGGCAGCGUACCGGCAUCCAACUGACGCUGAGGCACGAAAGCGUGGGGAUCAAACAGG